Transfer RNA from Ascochyta rabiei, 109 nucleotides. It matches the Rfam family "tRNA". From Rfam's summary of the family: Transfer RNA (tRNA) molecules are approximately 80 nucleotides in length. Their secondary structure includes four short double-helical elements and three loops (D, anti-codon, and T loops). Further hydrogen bonds mediate the characteristic L-shaped molecular structure. tRNAs have two regions of fundamental functional importance: the anti-codon, which is responsible for specific mRNA codon recognition, and the 3' end, to which the tRNAs corresponding amino acid is attached (by aminoacyl-tRNA synthetases). tRNAs cope with the degeneracy of the genetic code in two manners: having more than one tRNA (with a specific anti-codon) for a particular amino acid; and 'wobble' base-pairing, i.e. permitting non-standard base-pairing at the 3rd anti-codon position. The record is from Rfam. NCBI's taxonomy places the organism in Eukaryota, Fungi, Ascomycota, Dothideomycetes, Pleosporales, Didymellaceae.
GGCCCGAUGGCGCAACGGUAGCGCGUCAGAUUCCAGUUGUUACGGUAGUCGUCUACUGUAAGUAAGUGGUGGUUCCUGAAGGUUAGGCGUUCAAAUCGCCUUCGGGUCA